UAGGGAAUAUUGCGCAAUGGGCGAAAGCCUGACGCAGCCAUGCCGCGUGGAUGAUGAAGGCCUUCGGGUCGUAAAGUCCUUUUCUGAGGGAAGAACUGCCGGGGGAGGAAAUGCCCUUGGCUUGACGGUACCUCAGGAAUAAGCAACGGCUAACUCCGUGCCAGCAGCCGCGGUAAUACGGAGGUUGCAAGCGUUGUUCGGAAUGACUGGGCGUAAAGGGAGCGCAGGCGGCCAAGUCAGUCUGAAGUGAAAGCCCGGGGCUUAACCCCGGAAUAGCUUUGGAUACUGCCUGGCUUGAGUGUGCGAUAGGAAAGCGGAAUUCCAGGUGUAGCGGUGAAAUGCGUAGAUAUCUGGAGGAACACCGGUGGCGAAAGCGGCUUUCUGGCCCUAUACUGACGCUGAGACGCGAGAGCGUGGGUAGCAAACAG
RNAcentral lists this ribosomal RNA (428 nucleotides) under uncultured bacterium. Its description in RNAcentral is "bacterial SSU rRNA". It matches the Rfam family "Bacterial small subunit ribosomal RNA", at positions 355 to 775 of the family's 1533-position model. The record is from RNAcentral.